RNAcentral lists this ribosomal RNA (484 nucleotides) under uncultured bacterium. RNAcentral describes it as "partial 16S ribosomal RNA". It matches the Rfam family "Bacterial small subunit ribosomal RNA", at positions 29 to 507 of the family's 1533-position model. The record is from RNAcentral.
AUUGAACGCUGGCGGCAUGCUUUACACAUGCAAGUCGAACGGCAGCGCGGGCUUCGGCCUGGCGGCGAGUGGCGAACGGGUGAGUAAUACAUCGGAACGUGCCCAGUAGUGGGGGAUAGCUCGGCGAAAGCCGGAUUAAUACCGCAUACGACCUGAGGGUGAAAGCGGGGGAUCUUCGGACCUCGCGCUCUUGGAGGGGCCGAUGGCCGAUUAGCUAGUUGGUGGGGUAAAGGCCUACCAAGGCGACGAUCUGUAGCUGGUCUGAGAGGACGACCGGCCACACUAGGACUGAGACACGGCCCAGACUCCUACGGGAGGCAGCAGUGGGGAAUGUUGGACAAUGGGCGAAAGCCUGAUCCAGCAAUGCCGCGUGUGUGAUGAAGGCCUUCGGGUUGUAAAGCACUUUUGGCGGGAACGAAAAGGACUGUGCCAAUACCACGGUUGGAUGACGGUACCCGCAGAAGAAGCACCGGCUAACUACGUG